Molecule: small nucleolar RNA, 105 nt
Filed under: Arabidopsis thaliana x Arabidopsis arenosa
Lineage: Eukaryota; Viridiplantae; Streptophyta; Magnoliopsida; Brassicales; Brassicaceae
Description: snoZ279_R105_R108
Rfam family: Small nucleolar RNA Z279/snoR105/snoR108
About the family: This family includes the plant snoRNAs known as Z279, snoR105 and snoR108. All three are members of the C/D class of snoRNA which contain the C (UGAUGA) and D (CUGA) box motifs.
Source: RNAcentral
GGGAAAUGAGGAUUGGGUUUAAUCUCACUUUAAUUGUGGGAAGAGCGUUCCGCUCAAAGCCUGUUACGACUAUUGGGCGCUCCAAAUUUUAUACCAUCUGAUCCC